This 71-nucleotide transfer RNA is filed under the name Spirochaetaceae bacterium. RNAcentral's name for it is "tRNA-Gln". It matches the Rfam family "tRNA". From Rfam's summary of the family: Transfer RNA (tRNA) molecules are approximately 80 nucleotides in length. Their secondary structure includes four short double-helical elements and three loops (D, anti-codon, and T loops). Lineage: Bacteria; Pseudomonadati; Spirochaetota; Spirochaetia; Spirochaetales; Spirochaetaceae. The record is from RNAcentral.
UGUCCCAUGGUGUAACGGUAGCACUACGGAAUUUGGCUCCGCCGGUGGGGGUUCGAAUCCUCCUGGGACAG